ACUCCUACGGGAGGCAGCAGUGGGAAUAUUGCACAAUGGGCGCAAGCCUGAUGCAGCCAUGCCGCGUGUGUGAAGAAGGCCUCGGUUGUGAAUGCAGCUUUACAGUCGUGAGGAAGGUAGUGUAGUUAAUAGCUGCAUUAUUUGACGUUAGCGACAGAAGAAGCACCGGCUAACUCCGUGCCAGUAGCCGCGGUAAUACGGAGGGUGCGAGCGUUAAUCGGAAUUACUGGGCGUAAAGCGCAUGCAGGUGGUUUGUUAAGUCAGAUGUGAAAGCCCGGGCUCAAGCCUCGGAAUUGCAUUUGAAAC
Molecule: ribosomal RNA, 306 nt
Filed under: uncultured bacterium
Lineage: Bacteria
Description: bacterial SSU rRNA
Rfam family: Bacterial small subunit ribosomal RNA
Source: RNAcentral